AGCUCGCCCUGCACCUCCAGACCCUCCUCCAGACCUGACGGUGACAUCACAGCGAGAAGGAAAACAUCCUUCAGCAUGUCAGUACCUGUUAUGGAACUCGUAGAUGUCCUGGAUGUUUCCAAACACGAUGUCGUCCUUGUUGGUCAGACCAGCAGGAACGUCCUCUGAGCCGCUCGUCAUCUCCCACAGACACUAAACCCUACCUGUGAGCACCCUCCCAGCGCCGUCUCCAGCAGGUGGCGGUACUGUCCCAUCCUGACGGUGAAGUCCCGGUA
Thunnus maccoyii (southern bluefin tuna) is the source of this 275-nucleotide long non-coding RNA. RefSeq lists it as uncharacterized. The transcript is spliced from 3 exons. The record is from RefSeq and is a predicted model, not a curated record. NCBI's taxonomy places the organism in Eukaryota, Metazoa, Chordata, Actinopteri, Scombriformes, Scombridae.